Molecule: long non-coding RNA, 290 nt
Filed under: Trifolium pratense (red clover)
Lineage: Eukaryota; Viridiplantae; Streptophyta; Magnoliopsida; Fabales; Fabaceae
Description: long non-coding RNA (TPRA_LNC014398)
Source: RNAcentral
CUGAAGAAUAAGCAGGAAGGACGGGAAGAGGUGGAAUCCAGAGCUUCUUCUUCUUCUUCCAAUACGAGAAUCUAAUUCUCUUUCUCUUUCUCUUUAUCUUUCUCUCUCUGUGGUGUUUUUUUUUCCUCUGUUAGUUACGCUUCGUGGCGACCAAGAAAUAUAGAAUAGAAGAAUUUAAAGGCGUGCGUUAUACCUAAUUUAUUUGAGAUGCGUUUUUGUUUUAUGCCACUGGUAAUCGUAUAUGCGUUGUGUUUGUGCUAAUAUAUAUGCGUGUAUGUCACCGCCUUUCC